AUAUAUGAAGACUUGUAGAAACAACUAUAAAAAGAGUGACAAUUAGUAUUUGGGCUUUAAUGAGUUUUAAACGAAUAUAUGUAUUUCUCAUAAGAAGACAAUAGCAUUGGUUUUUUGACAUUGAGCAUGUAAGCUAUUUUCAUAAGACAAGAGGAGUGAGUAGGUGGACAUGUUUGUCUGUUAGGAUUGUCUCUUGUAUCUCCUGGUGUGGCUGUGUUUGUUUCUCUUUUAUUUGAUGGGUAAUAUGUAAACAAAAAUUAUUGUUAGUUGUAUUUAUCAGAAUUUGUAACUUACUCUUCUUUUUUGUUUAGGUAAUUUCACUGAUCUUGGUUGUCGUCUUCUUCGUAAACAUCUGCAAAAGUAAGUUUGUAAAUUGUUAAAUAGCUGGCUGCAUAGUUUGAAUUUGUUUAGAUGGCUCAAUGUAUGAGUCGUUGAGUUUUAGUUGAGUUGAUUGGUUUGGUAUAUUUGUUUUGAAGUUUAUUUGUAAGAUUAGGC
RNAcentral lists this long non-coding RNA (495 nucleotides) under Brassica napus (rape). RNAcentral's name for it is "long non-coding RNA (BNAP_LNC022765)". The record is from RNAcentral. Lineage: Eukaryota; Viridiplantae; Streptophyta; Magnoliopsida; Brassicales; Brassicaceae.